UAGAAGUUUGAUCCUGGCUCAGAACGAACGCUGGCGGCAGGCCUAACACAUGCAAGUCGAGCGCUCACUUCGGUGGGAGCGGCGGACGGGUUAGUAACGCGUGGGAACGUGCCCUUCUCUACGGAAUAGCCAUUGGAAACGAUGAGUAAUACCGUAUACGCCCUUUGGGGGAAAGAUUUAUCGGAGAAGGAUCGGCCCGCGUUAGAUUAGAUAGUUGGUGGGGUAACGGCCUACCAAGUCUACGAUCUAUAGCUGGUUUUAGAGGAUGAUCAGCAACACUGGGACUGAGACACGGCCCAGACUCCUACGGGAGGCAGCAGUGGGGAAUCUUAGACAAUGGGCGCAAGCCUGAUCUAGCCAUGCCGCGUGUGUGAUGAAGGCCCUAGGGUCGUAAAGCACUUUCGCCAGGGAUGAUAAUGACAGUACCUGGUAAAGAAACCCCGGCUAACUCCGUGCCAGCACCCGCGGUAAUACGAGGGGUCAGCGAUGUUCGGAAUUACUGGCCGUAAAGCGCGCGUAGCCGGAUUGGAAAGUUGGGGGGUGAAAUCCCGGGGCUCAACCCCGGAACUGCCCCCAAAACUAUCAGUCUAGAGUCGAGAGAAGUGAGUGAAAUUCCGAGUGUAGAGGUGAAAUUCGUAGAUAUUCGGAGGAACACCAGUGGCGAAGGCGGCUCACUGGCUCGAUACUGACGCUGAGGUGCGAAAGUGUGGGGAGCAAACAGGAUUAGAUACCUGGUAGUCACACGUAAACGAUGAAUGCCAGUCGUCGGGCAGUAUACUGUUCGGUGACACACCUAGCGGAUUAAGCAUUCCGCCUGGGGAGUACGGUCGCAAGAUUAAAACUCAAGGAAUUGACGGGGGCCCGCACAAGCGGUGGAGCAUGUGGAUUAAUUCGAAGCACGCGCAGAACCUUACCAACCCAUGACAUCUGUGCUAACCCGAGAGAACGCCCGGCCACUUCGGUGGCGCAGUGACAGGUGCUGCAUGGCUGUCGUCAGCUCGUGUCGUGAGAUGUUCGGUUAAGUCCGGCAACGAGCGCAACCCACAUCUUUAGUUGCCAGCAGUUCGGCUGGGCACUCUAAAGAAACUGCCCGUGAUAAGCGGGAGGAAGGUGUGGAUGACGUCAAGUCCUCAUGGCCCUUACGGGUUGGGCUACACACGUGCUACAAUGGCAGUGACAAUGGGUUAAUCCCAAAAAAGCUGUCUCAGUUCGGAUUGGGGUCUGCAACUCGACCCCAUGAAGUCGGAAUCGCUAGUAAUCGCGUAACAGCAUGACGCGGUGAAUACGUUCCCGGGCCUUGUACACACCGCCCGUCACACCAUGGGAGUUGGUUCUACCCGACGACGCUGCGCUAACCUUCGGGAGGCAAGGCGGCCCACGGUAGGAUUCAGCGGACUGGGGUGAAAGUCGUAACCGAGGUAACCCGAGGGCGAAAUUCGUUUAAACCUGCCAGGACUUAUUCCCCUUGUGUGAGGUUCAUGUGAGUUG
RNAcentral lists this ribosomal RNA (1488 nucleotides) under uncultured Roseobacter sp. RNAcentral's name for it is "bacterial SSU rRNA". It matches the Rfam family "Bacterial small subunit ribosomal RNA". The record is from RNAcentral. Lineage: Bacteria; Pseudomonadati; Pseudomonadota; Alphaproteobacteria; Rhodobacterales; Roseobacteraceae.